Molecule: small RNA, 97 nt
Filed under: Arabidopsis thaliana (thale cress)
Lineage: Eukaryota; Viridiplantae; Streptophyta; Magnoliopsida; Brassicales; Brassicaceae
Description: ATSL300320
Source: RNAcentral
AAGGAGAAGGUGGACUCUUUGAGUUCAUAGAGAGACGGCUGAAGGAUCAUGGUCACAUGGUGAUUGUUCUUGCUGAGGGUGCAGGACAGGAUUUGAU